AACGGCCAUACCAUGCUGAAUAUACCGAUUCUCGUUAGAUCACCGAAGUCAAGCAUCAUUGGGCGCGGUCAGUACUUGGGUAGUCAGUACUUGGUCAGUAGUGGGUGACCACCAGGGAACACCGCGUGCCGU
Molecule: non-coding RNA, 132 nt
Organism: Caerostris darwini
Lineage: Eukaryota; Metazoa; Arthropoda; Arachnida; Araneae; Araneidae
Source: the annotation of a GenBank genome assembly